RNAcentral lists this ribosomal RNA (465 nucleotides) under Vreelandella stevensii. Its description in RNAcentral is "partial 16S ribosomal RNA". It matches the Rfam family "Bacterial small subunit ribosomal RNA", at positions 338 to 795 of the family's 1533-position model. The record is from RNAcentral. Lineage: Bacteria; Pseudomonadati; Pseudomonadota; Gammaproteobacteria; Oceanospirillales; Halomonadaceae.
CCUACGGGGGGCUGCAGUGGGGAAUAUUGGACAAUGGGCGAAAGCCUGAUCCAGCCAUGCCGCGUGUGUGAAGAAGGCCUUCGGGUUGUAAAGCACUUUCAGUGGGGAAGAAAGCCUUGGGGCUAAUACCCUCGAGGAAGGACAUCACCCACAGAAGAAGCACCGGCUAACUCCGUGCCAGCAGCCGCGGUAAUACGGAGGGUGCGAGCGUUAAUCGGAAUUACUGGGCGUAAAGCGCGCGUAGGCGGUCUGAUAAGCCGGUUGUGAAAGCCCCGGGCUCAACCUGGGAACGGCAUCCGGAACUGUCAGGCUAGAGUGCAGGAGAGGAAGGUAGAAUUCCCGGAGUAGCGGUGAAAUGCGUAGAGAUCGGGAGGAAUACCAGUGGCGAAGGCGGCCUUCUGGACUGACACUGACGCUGAGGUGCGAAAGCGUGGGUAGCAAACAGGAUUAGAUACCCUAGUAGUC